UACAGAGGGUGCGAGCGUUAAUCGGAAUUACUGGGCGUAAAGCGCACGUAGGUGGCUACGUAAGUCGGGUGUGAAAGCCCCGGGCUCAACCUGGGAAUUGCAUUCGAGACUGCAUUGCUGGAGUACGGAAGAGGAAGGCGGAAUUCCCGGUGUAGCGGUGAAAUGCGUAGAUAUCGGGAGGAACAUCAGUGGCGAAGGCGGCCUUCUGGUCCAGUACUGACACUCAAGUGCGAAAGCGUGGGGAGCAAACAGG
Molecule: ribosomal RNA, 253 nt
Filed under: uncultured bacterium
Lineage: Bacteria
Description: partial 16S ribosomal RNA
Rfam family: Bacterial small subunit ribosomal RNA
Source: RNAcentral